UUUCACACUUAGAAAAAAAAAUUAAAGGCCGAUCCCAAAAGUUAGACAGAAAACCCUAAGCUCUCGCGUGACCUCCAUCUCACUCAAACUCGCCUUCAUUCUGAACUCACCCCAAAACUGGAUCUCCUCCCAAACCCGACCUCCAUCUCCUCCCUUCCUUCCUUCAUCUACAUCCUCAGCUUCUUCGGCAUCAACUCCGUCCAGUCCGGCAUCAACUCCGUCCAGUCCGUCCUCAACUUAUUCGUCGAAGCAUUUCUAAACAGCGCUGUUCCCUCUUAGCCUCUGGAAUCGAAGCAAGAGAGCGGCGGCCAGUCGGCGCGACUCACUUCAGAGAACGACUCCGUUGUGGGAUUCAAAGGAUUCUAGGAGUCGCCGGUCGGAGACGAAGUAAUAGUUUAAGAAGCGCGAGUUUGUGGGUGUCUUCAAUAUUAACUAAUUUGUCAAGUCCAGUUGGGUAUGUUCUCUCUUGCUUCCUUCCAAUCUUUGUUCCAAUUGAAAUUGUGAUCUAUGAAAUUGUAUGGUCACCUUGAGUUUGAACUAUUGAUUUUGUUAUGCUUUUGAGGUUGGACGGUCUUGAUAAAAAGAAGUUUGAUGGGUCUAGGCCAUCUGCAACGUUCAGUAUCGGGUUAAGGCGAGUACCCAUAAGCUGUGAUGUUCGUUUCCAACCCUGUAUUGAUAUACACAAGGUAUUGGAGAUUCAAGGAACAACGACAGAGUCGAGGAGGAAGAGGUCAACUUUGCUUGGUGGGUGGAUUAAUGGCGUCUCUAGCUAUGGCACCAGUUCAAGAUGAUGAUGAUGAUCAAUAUGGUGAGAUUUCCUUUAGUCCUGCUGCUGUUGGGGUCCAAUUGAAGGAUCAAUUAUCUUCUGGAAAUGACUAUGCUCCCAAGGUGAGGAAACCAUACACGAUCACGAAACAGAGAGAGAGAUGGACAGAGGAAGAGCAUAACAAAUUCCUUGAAGCUCUAAAACUCCAUGUUCAGGCAUGGCGAAAGAUACAAGGAACAUCUACAAUCAUUUUGUAAGUGAUGAAACUGGAGGAGCAACUGUUAUGCAAACAGAGAUAGGUACUCCAGAUGAUCCCUUCCCAACAAGGUCCAUUUGGAACUGUAUACCAUGGUCUGUGAGAUUGAUCAGUACUUCUACGCAUCAAUUUUAGCUUCAUGAGUAUUAAAAACUGAAAAGACAUGCUAAGCAGCAGCUUCAGUUUCUUCAGGUGUUUCCUCUUUGUCAUCAGUCUAUUUACAUGUUCCACGCUCAUGAUGCUCCUCUAGAAAAUAUGAGGAGAUCUGUGCACCCCUGGUUGAAGAAUUUUGUUACAUUACUUAUAGGGUCCCUUAUUGAUAACACAUGUUUUAAGGAAAGAGUGGGUAGUAAAGGCGCGCAAAUCAUAUAGCCAAAAUGAUAUUGACGAGGUGUGCAUUGAAGUGGCUGAUUAUAUACAAAGUUUGGUGUAAGACUUUUGGCUUCCAUGAUUUUGAGUAAGGCUAGUUUUUGCUUUGAAGCAAAGUUUGGUGUAGAACAUACUUUUGUAGUUGGUUGCUAAUAUGUUUCUAA
This is an RNA transcript of Rosa chinensis, 1555 nucleotides long. RefSeq lists it as uncharacterized. The record is from RefSeq and is a predicted model, not a curated record. The transcript has 11 exons. Lineage: Eukaryota; Viridiplantae; Streptophyta; Magnoliopsida; Rosales; Rosaceae.